GAGCUGCCCCUCUGCCAGCACCCUCCGCCCACGCCGGCACUGUACUUGAUGGCAGCGUCCCAGGGCUAGGGGCCUGCGCGCCAGCAGGAGCGAAGUUACCCCAAAACGCCCCGGCCUCAGCCCGCCAGGGAGGGCUCCGAGGAGGCGCCGGGAGUGGGCCCGGUAGGACCCUCUCUGCCAGCCGCCGUCCCUCCCCAAGCGCUCUCCCGAGCUGCGGCUCCAUCCCUGCGCUGGAAGAGGCGUCCGGAGGCCGGGAGGCCAGCCACGCCGGCGCAGGCGCUGAGCCCAGAGUCUGGCGCGCCCGGACGCCCGGGGAAUCUCUCCCGCCAAGUCGCGGGUGCCGGGACCGACAGGCAGGAGGGCUGAAGGUCACCGCGGGGAGGCCGGGGGUUGGCGGCCUACGCUCACCAUUCGAGCCGCGUUCGGGGGCCAAAACGAGGGCACGGCAGCGCCACUCAAGCCGGGAGCCGAAGCCGAGGCUGAGGCUGGAGGCCGCACAAGGCGACGCGAGCGCGCGAGGAGCCAGAGUGCUCGGUACAUGGUGCUGAGGCAGCCUGGGUAGAAGUUCUGGGAGGCUGUGGCCACGCCUCCACGCCGGCUGUCAGAAGCCGUUCCGCCCACCGGCCUCCGCUCUCAUCCAAUCAACAGCUUCACACCAACAGGUGGGGAAUGUGAUUGGUGUCCUGCUGUGACGGACAAAGGAACAGUGCAAUGGUUUUCUCUUGCCUCUGUUCUAAAUCUCAUCACCUGGCUGACAAAAUUGAUAGCAAAGCACUCUGGACUCUCAUGUUAUCCUUCAAUUUCUAAAAGUCAUCAGCUGGAUCAUUCUACUCAGAUCUGUUUUCUCCUGCCUAAGCUGAUACAAAAGUUCAUUACCUCUCCCUUCCUCUUCCAACUCAAAGAUCAUCAAAUCCAAAUUAUUCAGAUGUUAUUAUAAAAUGUAACUCUCCACAGACAUGGAAUCAACACAUCAGUGGCAGAUUGGAUAAAGAAAAUAUG
Macaca mulatta (Rhesus monkey) is the source of this 999-nucleotide long non-coding RNA. RefSeq lists it as uncharacterized. The record is from RefSeq and is a predicted model, not a curated record. Lineage: Eukaryota; Metazoa; Chordata; Mammalia; Primates; Cercopithecidae.